This 253-nucleotide ribosomal RNA is filed under the name uncultured bacterium. Its description in RNAcentral is "partial 16S ribosomal RNA". It matches the Rfam family "Bacterial small subunit ribosomal RNA", at positions 524 to 776 of the family's 1533-position model. The record is from RNAcentral.
UACGUAGGGUGCAAGCGUUAAUCGGAAUUACUGGGCGUAAAGCGUGCGCAGGCGGUUCGUUGUGUCUGAUGUGAAAGCCCCGGGCUCAACCUGGGAAUGGCAAUGGAAACUGGCGGGCUGGAGUAUGGCAGAGGGGGGUGGAAUUCCGCGUGUAGCAGUGAAAUGCGUAGAGAUGCGGAGGAACACCGAUGGCGAAGGCAGCCCCCUGGGCCAAUACUGACGCUCAGGCACGAAAGCGUGGGGAGCGAACAGG